UUCCAAAGGGAAGAAAUCUGUCUUGCUGAACAUGCAAAGCUAGAAGAUUAGCUUAAAUUUAGUCCAAAUUCAUAUGGACUAUAGGGGUUUUGUAGCAGUGACAUCACAGAGCUGCAGAGUCCAGUAAUGUCAGUAAUUCUCCCACCCUGUAGCUUAGUUCAAUUUCUGUGUGCAGAAAUAGAAGUUGGGACCAGUUAUUUUACUCUACUGAGGACUUAGUAAGAUUUUAAAGUCAGUAUCUAGGUAGAAGAAAAUCAUUUCCAGAAUAGCAGGAAUUAAAAUUAUUUAAUCUGUGGGAGUAACUGUUUCUGAUUUGAAGUUUUAGCAGUUAAAAUCUGAACAAAAAUGAACUUUUGCCCUCAUGCAUCAUUUCACCAAAUGCUAUUCACCUGUUUCUAUCACUGCCACUGAGCUGGGAGACAGAAGAGAUUGGAAGGGCUCUACUCUUUUAGGGAAACAUUUCCUGUGGAGAUCUGGCUCUGAUUUUGGUGUUACCACAGAAUCUGAUGUUCACAGUGAUGUUUUGGGCCAACAGAGAUUUGUUGGUGAUGAAUUAAAAGCAUGUCUGCUGUUGGGUAAACACUUCUGUUGGUAUGUGCUGGCAUCAUAGAUUUUAAAAUUCUGACAUCUUCUGAUGCAGUCUCCAGUCCUCUGUUGAACUCUCCACUGCAAUACUUCAUCUUCAAAAAAGUACCUCUUGAUGUAUUUAUUUAUUCAUUUCCUUAUUUCUCUUUAGGAAAAGAAUGCUGUCCUGCAAAACAUGCUCAGGAAGUUGAGGGAUAUGGAGGUAGAGCACCAUGGCUGCAGCGAGAUCCCGAGGCUCCGGGCUGAUCAUCUGGAUCUCGAGGAUAGACAGAAGGACAGACUUGUCAGGGAGCUGGAGAUCCUCAAAUGUGCAAUGGAGAGAGGGGGCUGAGGAAAGGAAGGAAACUGAAGAACCCUCUGGGAGAUUAGUGGAUGCUGCAACCGGCCUGAGCCUGCGUGAAAGCCCAGUGAUGUGUCAUCUAGAAUACAUUUGCAAGCACAAGACUGACACUAUGAACAACCUUCAGCAGAACCAGGAGGGUGCUUUAGCAAAAAUGUCUGAAAAGUUAAAAGCACAGGAAGAUUGCUGGCAGAAAGAAAAGCAACAUCUUGAACACCAGAACUCAAAUCUCCUUGCAGAAUUUCAUGCAAGACCACAAGUAUGGCACUGUGAACUUCUAAUUUUUUUCUUGCAACAUUUGAUGGAUUUUUUUCAGUAGUUUAAGCCCCUUAGCAGUUUAAGGUCAUUUGGGAAUUUUAGUAUAUUUUUUAAGUUAAGGAAAAAAAAGCUUACAGCAAACCAACCCGUCAUUGCACUCACAUUAACAUCACUUAAAAUAAGAAAUAAAUGACUUUGUUGAAGCAUUCUGAAGAGAAUUUGGUCUGCAGCCCCAAUUCAGAAGCCUGAUUUGGUCUAUUUUUGGUAGUAUUUUGGCAGUAUUUUUUGUUUCUGAGAAUGUUAAAGCUGUAAGAUCAAAUUUGCUUAUUUUAAGAAUUACAGGGGACAGCAGCUGCUUUUUCAGCACCAUCAUUUGCAGAGAUUGUAUAGAGCAACAAUAAUGUGGGGAUGAAUUUAGUUACAUGUGUACUGACCCUAAGACAAUGGCAGAUUUCAACGGUGUUAAGUGACUCUAUUGCACUGAUAUUACAGUCAGAAGUGGUUUAGAGGUGUAAAACUCUCACUGCUUGUUAGAUGAGUUAUUUGCAAACCCAAAUGUUCCCUGUUGUUCCACAACCACCAUUUACCAUCACAUUCCUUCACAUCUUUUUCAUUUAAAAGUGUUGUGAAUAAAGAAAAUAGAUGUCCAUUGU
This 1836-nucleotide long non-coding RNA is filed under the name Ficedula albicollis (Collared flycatcher). RNAcentral describes it as "lncRNA (ENSFALG00000027328.1)". The record is from RNAcentral. Lineage: Eukaryota; Metazoa; Chordata; Aves; Passeriformes; Muscicapidae.